UGAAACUCGGCAAUGGGGGGAACCCUGAACUCGCACGCCGCGUGAGUGAAGAAGGUUUUCGGAUCGUAAAGCUCUGUUGUAAGAGAAGAACGUGUGUGAGAGUGGAAAGUUCACACAGUGACGGUAACUUACCAGAAAGGGACGGCUAACUACGUGCCAGCAGCCGCGGUAAUAC
This 175-nucleotide ribosomal RNA is filed under the name uncultured bacterium. RNAcentral describes it as "partial 16S ribosomal RNA". It matches the Rfam family "Bacterial small subunit ribosomal RNA", at positions 358 to 526 of the family's 1533-position model. The record is from RNAcentral.